Molecule: ribosomal RNA, 505 nt
Filed under: uncultured bacterium
Lineage: Bacteria
Description: bacterial SSU rRNA
Rfam family: Bacterial small subunit ribosomal RNA
Source: RNAcentral
ACGGCCUUCGGGUUGUAAACCUCUUUUAGUAGGGAAGAAGCGUAACAGUGACGGUACCUGCAGAAAAAGCACCGGCUAACUACGUGCCAGCAGCCGCGGUAAUACGUAGGGUGCAAGCGUUGUCCGGAAUUAUUGGGCGUAAAGAGCUCGUAGGCGGUUUGUCGCGUCUGCUGUGAAAACCCGAGGCUCAACCUCGGGCCUGCAGUGGGUACGGGCAGACUAGAGUGCGGUAGGGGAGAUUGGAAUUCCUGGUGUAGCGGUGGAAUGCGCAGAUAUCAGGAGGAACACCAAUGGCGAAGGCAGAUCUCUGGGCCGUAACUGACGCUGAGGAGCGAAAGCAUGGGGAGCGAACAGGAUUAGAUACCCUGGUAGUCCAUGCCGUAAACGUUGGGAACUAGAUGUGGGGACCAUUCCUCGGUCUCCGUGUCGCAGCUAACGCAUUAAGUUCCCCGCCUGGGGAGUACGGCCGCAAGGCUAAAACUCAAAGGAAUUGACGGAAUCACUA